GCAGGAACUGAAACUGAAAUACUUAAGAACUGUAGUUAAUCAUCUUAAGGUAAACCUAACUAAGAGAACUAGUCAGAUUAACUUAAACAAGAGCAACAUCGGUCAGAACCGUCCCCUGACCGGCCGGUGAUGGAGCAGCUUUAUAUGCAGUUUCCUCCCACAUCAGAUCUGGUCCUGAUUUCCACCCAGUGUAUACAUGUGUGUGGGGGGGGAUCGAGGGCGGCGCGGGUGGUGCUGGGGGGGUCGCCCAGCAUAAAGGCCUCUUUAUUCACGCCGGACAGGGAAAGGAAAUCGGCUUCAGAAGAAAAAGCACGCCAGCGUGCCACAGGCCCGCACAUCUGGAGUUAUUACAAGCCCGCCGUCUUGCCAAGAAACUCCGACAUUCCUGCAGCGCUACAAAACUGCGCAGCUCCCCCCCACACACACACACACACUCGCGUUUUAGCCCCCACUACAUGCACCCCAACCCCCUCCCCGAAAUGACACAACACAUGCAGCAAAUUAAUGCACUUCACUUCCUGUUGACCUUUGACCCUCAACUUCCUGCCGCCUCCCCAAAAAGCAGGAAAAAAAUAACAGAAAGCCAGACGGAGGCGGGAAGGAGAAGAAAGCCCCGCCUCUUUCUCCUCUCUUGCUGCUUCACUCUCUCACUAGUAAAGUUAGUUAACAGUCCUCUGCCACGUCAAGCCUGCGAGUCACUGCAGGGACGAGACGCUCGCCCACAGACGGAUGUUAGUGGAUGUGCCUUUAUGAUUUAUUCAGGAACACGGAGAGAUCUGUGAAUGAUGGGAAAAGGCCAUUUAUUCCCCUGCACUCACUGAGGUCCUGCAGACUGAGAAAGACUGAGAUCAACACUCGACGAACACCUGGAGGAUGAGACUCCAUCACGGCCUCAUCAGACCUGCACUAACUCUCCUGAUCGACCGCGUGACGAGAUGCUGCAUUACUCCCGGAAGCUCGUCCCGCCUGCCCAGUGUUCAGACUACCUGUUCAGGAAGUAGCGUUUGUACAGUAGUCUGCACAUUGGUUAGGCUGGACGGGGAUGCUCGAGAUGGACCGUCGCCAUGACGACUGCGGAACACAUCGCCAUGGCGACGAGAGGAGAUCCGCAUGACGACAGCAGGUCACACUACUGAUGUGACUUCAUGAAAUCAUCAUCUAUUCGGCGAUGCCAAAUAAAGUAUGAAAUACAAAAUAAAGUGUAAAAUGAUAUUAA
This is a long non-coding RNA of Cyprinus carpio (common carp), 1216 nucleotides long. RefSeq lists it as uncharacterized. Lineage: Eukaryota; Metazoa; Chordata; Actinopteri; Cypriniformes; Cyprinidae. The record is from RefSeq and is a predicted model, not a curated record.